UUUGCACGGCUGGCCUCAGCGGGAGGCGCGGAAAUGCAAGCCCAGCAAGCUGGCGUGAAAGCCCCCGGGGCCUGGCACCCCCAAAAGCGACCCCCCACCUCCGUCCCUGCCCCCAUUGCUCAGGGCUACCCCUCUUCCUGUUUCAUCCACCCCACCCUAUUACCUGCAUGGCCGACCCAAAUUCAAAGCAUUUUGUGUUUAUAUAUAUUUUUUGUUUUGUUUUGUUUUUACACUGCAUGUCUUUUUCGUGGGGUGGGGGGUUAGGGGUGAGCCUCUACAGACCCCCCAUUUGCAGACCUUCCAUAUGGAGGAGGCAUUAGGGGGACCCAGAAGGCAAUUAGCUCAGCUCCAUACCUGUAAGGACUGCAUAACUUUUAAACUCCCGGGACUCAAAGAUAUGGACCCAAACACGCGCACACACACAGGUACAGGAAAUACAGCCAGACUAGAGCCCUUUCAGACCGCAGCUGACCGGAAGACGUUGCCUUUCAUUCAUUCAUUCUGCCCGCCUCUGUGGAGUCUUUUACUAGGCGACCAGCCCUGAAACAGAAGUUGGACAUUUUUUUAAAGGUCCUUGCGCUCGCCAAGAGGAGGAAAUAGAUGCUCAGGAGUGAAGGAGAGAAUCGGAUCUGGCGCCUCCUAACGCGGCCCGCAGACGAGCGAAGGUGUGAAGAAUGGAAGGAAACUUAGAAAUAACAGAACAGAGACCCGUGUUGGAGAGGAUUCCAUUAAUCUUGCAAAGUGAUCAGUCACUGAGAGGAUUGAAUUGCAUUUCCUGCCCAGAGAUGUGGAGACAGAUGACCUUUGCAGCAGCCCUCAGACCCCCAGUUCACAGCUGGAGAGAGGAUGUGUCAGCAUUUACUUUCAGAGUCUUGCUGUGUUGCUCAGGCUGGUCUUGAACUCCUGACCUCAAGCAAUCCUCCCAUCGUGGCCUCCCAAAGUGCUGGAAUUACAGGCAGGACCCACCCUGACCUGGUGACAGUUGCCUCUUAGCCCCAGCGUGGAGAGAGAAAUUCACCCCUUGCGAAUUGAGAGCAGGCACUCAGUAGGAGCACAGCAAAGAAUGAUUGCAGGAUGGGUCCUCAAUCCUUCCAGAGUCCUGACUUCUCAACCUGUGUAUUCUGAUCCCCGGGGAAGUGACUUCAUCUCUCUGAACCUCCUCCUCCUCAUUUGCACAAUGGGAAAAUAACAGACAUUGUUGGGAAGAUGAAACCAGACCAUGGAGACCUCAGUCAUCCUGCUUUCUGUUCCCUAUUAUAUAUAACCGUGGAUCAUAUUAUACAUUUUACUUAUUGGUCUGAUUUUUUUCUCCUUUCACUGGGACGUCUAUUUUGUUCAUCUCUCUUCCCAGCCUCUAGAACAGAGGUUGGCCCAUGGUGGGUUCUCAGUAAAUAUUUGUAAAUAAAAUGAACAGAUGGUUGUAAAAUGAUGGGUAUUUGAGUGCCUGACAAUGGUAGGUAUCAUUAAUUUACCGUUGUGGUUAAGAACUCAGUUCUCUGGAAUGUAACUGAAAGUAGUGUAAUUGGGGCAGGGGAAAUUUCACGUCAUUAUAGGAUUUACAGUUCA
Molecule: long non-coding RNA, 1566 nt
Organism: Lemur catta (Ring-tailed lemur)
Lineage: Eukaryota; Metazoa; Chordata; Mammalia; Primates; Lemuridae
Exons: 5
Source: RefSeq, a predicted model, not a curated record